Molecule: ribosomal RNA, 301 nt
Filed under: uncultured bacterium
Lineage: Bacteria
Description: partial 16S ribosomal RNA
Rfam family: Bacterial small subunit ribosomal RNA
Source: RNAcentral
CAGCAGCCGCGGGAAUACGUAGGGUGCAAGCGUUAAUCGGAAUUACUGGGCGUAAAGCGUGCGCAGGCGGUUCGCUAAGACAGAUGUGAAAUCCUCGGGCUUAACCUGGGAACUGCAUUUGUGACUGGCGGGCUAGAGUAUGGCAGAGGGGGGUAGAAUUCCACGUGUAGCAGUGAAAUGCGUAGAGAUGUGGAGGAAUACCGAUGGCGAAGGCAGCCCCCUGGGCCAAUACUGACGCUCAUGCACGAAAGCGUGGGGAGCAAACAGGAUUAGAUACCCGCGUAGUCCCUGUCUCUUAUAC